Molecule: ribosomal RNA, 826 nt
Filed under: Ophiocordyceps sinensis
Lineage: Eukaryota; Fungi; Ascomycota; Sordariomycetes; Hypocreales; Ophiocordycipitaceae
Description: LSU rRNA
Rfam family: Eukaryotic large subunit ribosomal RNA
Source: RNAcentral
GGGAUUGCCCCAGUAACGGCGAGUGAAGCGGCAACAGCUCGAAUUUGAAAUCUGGCCCCCCCGCGGGCCCGAGUUGUAAUUUGCAGAGGAUGCUUUUGGCGCGGCGCCUUCCGAGUGCCCUGGAACGGGACGCCAUAGAGGGUGAGAGCCCCGUCUGGUCGGACGCCCAGCCUCUGUAAAGCUCCUUCGACGAGUCGAGUAGUUUGGGAAUGCUGCUCUAAACGGGAGGUAUAUGUCUUCUAAAGCUAAAUACCGGCCAGAGACCGAUAGCGCACAAGUAGAGUGAUCGAAAGAUGAAAAGCACUUUGAAAAGAGGGUUAAACAGCACGUGAAAUUGUUGAAAGGGAAGCGCUUGUGACCAGACUCGGGCGCGGCGAAUCACCCGGCGUUCUCGCCGGUGCACUUCGACGCGCCCGGGCCAGCAUCAGCUCGCCGCGGGGGACAAAGGCGCCGGGAACGUGGCUCCCCAGGGAGUGUUAUAGCCCGGCGCGCAACGCCCCGCGGCGGUCUGAGGUUCGCGCGUCCGCAAGGAUGCUGGCGUAAUGGUCACCAGUGACCCGUCUUGAAACACGGACCAAGGAGUCGUCCUCGUAUGCGAGUGUUCGGGUGUCAAACCCCUACGCGCAAUGAAAGUGAACGCGGGUGAGAGCCUCGCGGCGCAUCAUCGACCGAUCCUGAUGUUCUCGGAUGGAUUUGAGUAGGAGCAUACGGGGCCGGACCCGAAAGAAGGUGAACUAUGCCUGUGUAGGGUGAAGCCAGAGGAAACUCUGGUGGAGGCUCGCAGCGGUUCUGACGUGCAAAUCGAUCGUCAAACAUGGGCAUGGGG